GAGUUUGAUCCUGGCUCAGGACGAACGCUGGCGGCGUGCUUAACACAUGCAAGUCGAGCGGUAAGGCUCCUUCGGGAGUACACGAGCGGCGAACGGGUGAGUAACACGUGAGCAAUCUGCCCUUCACAUUGGGAUAACCCUCGGAAACGAGAGCUAAUACCGGAUACAACCACUGGCGGCAUCGCCUGGUGGUGGAAAGUUCCGGCGGUGGAGGAUGAGCUCGCGGCCUAUCAGCUUGUUGGUGGGGUAACGGCCCACCAAGGCGACGACGGGUAGCCGGCCUGAGAGGGUGACCGGCCACACUGGGACUGAGACACGGCCCAGACUCCUACGGGAGGCAGCAGUGGGGAAUAUUGCGCAAUGGGCGAAAGCCUGACGCAGCGACGCCGCGUGUGGGAUGAAGCAUUUCGGUGUGUAAACCACUGUUGCCCGGGACGAACAGCUUCUUUCGAGGAGCCUGACGGUACCGGGUGAGGAAGCACCGGCUAACUCCGUGCCAGCAGCCGCGGUA
Molecule: ribosomal RNA, 511 nt
Filed under: uncultured bacterium
Lineage: Bacteria
Description: bacterial SSU rRNA
Rfam family: Bacterial small subunit ribosomal RNA
Source: RNAcentral